Molecule: ribosomal RNA, 497 nt
Filed under: uncultured bacterium
Lineage: Bacteria
Description: partial 16S ribosomal RNA
Rfam family: Bacterial small subunit ribosomal RNA
Source: RNAcentral
GACGAACGCUGGCGGCGUGCCUAAUACAUGCAAGUAGAACGCUGAAGAGAGGAGCUUGCUCUUCUUGGAUGAGUUGCGAACAGGUGAGUAACGCGUAGGUAACCUGCCUUGUAGCGGGGGAUAACUAUUGGAAACGAUAGCUAAUACCGCAUAACAAUGGAUGACACAUGUCAUUUAUUUGAAAGGGGCAAUUGCUCCACUACAAGAUGGACCUGCGUUGUAUUAGCUAGUAGGUGAGGUAAUGGCUCACCUAGGCGACGAUACAUAGCCGACCUGAGAGGGUGAUCGGCCACACUGGGACUGAGACACGGCCCAGACUCCUACGGGAGGCAGCAGUAGGGAAUCUUCGGCAAUGGGGGCAACCCUGACCGAGCAACGCCGCGUGAGUGAAGAAGGUUUUCGGAUCGUAAAGCUCUGUUGUAAGUCAAGAACGGGUGUGAGAGUGGAAAGUUCACACUGUGACGGUAGCUUACCAGAAAGGGACGGCUAACUACGUG